Molecule: long non-coding RNA, 3080 nt
Organism: Helianthus annuus (common sunflower)
Lineage: Eukaryota; Viridiplantae; Streptophyta; Magnoliopsida; Asterales; Asteraceae
Exons: 3
Source: RefSeq, a predicted model, not a curated record
ACCUCAACUUUUCCAUAAAAGAUGUUUGAAGACUUUAGAGAGAGAAAGUAGAGAGAGAGAGCAGCAAAGAAAAAGGGCUCCGAUGGGUUCCGGCCGCCGGUGAUGGCAGAGCCAUGAUGCUUUAGACGGAGCUACAACAGUGGUGGUCUAGGUGGUGUCGGGUUGGAAAAAUAAACAACAGUGAUGGUGGUGUUAGGUAAAAGGCGGUGGUUCAGUUGACAACUGUGACGACCACAACGGACCCGAUUGCAAUAAUAGUGACCGCGGAGUUUUGAAGGUUUAGGAAUCCGGCAAGGCUUCAGUUAAUUCCUACGAGUUUUGCAGUAAGCUUCGUUUCGCUUGCAUGUUUUAUUUUUGUUUAGAUCGGCUCCUAACGAAUAUGAUUUGGUGAAACUUGUGAUAAGUGUUAUUUUCUUGCUCCUCAACGAGAAGCAUCUUCUGGCAUUCUACUAAAUAGUUUACUAAUGAAGGAUAGGUCCAGCUUCAGCCUCCAUUUAGAAACGGAAUUUAGCAAAAGAUAAAUUAUUUAGGAUAAGGUUAAGGUUUUAGCCUUUUUGUUAAGCGAAAGGGGCCUUUCAAAUACUGGUUAACUGUCCUGUUUUACUUCAUGAAGUUGCUGUUGAAAAGUUGUUGAGAGAAAGACCAACGAAGAUUGUAAAUUUUUGUUAAAAGAGGUGGCAAAAUGGGUGGGUUGAAUAGCCGAUCAAAAGAGUAUGCUGGUUUGUUUGUUUUUUUAUUUGUUAGUACCUUGUAAGCAUAUACACUAAUACACAUACAAAAAAAGUAGAUUGGAGUUGUAUUCUUAUUAGGUUGUAAAAAUAGUUUUACCUUGGAAGGUAAUUUUUAUGAGACUAGGUUUGACUUCUGAGAUGAAAAAGAUUAAAUACCGUGUGUUAGUAGAUCUAAGAGGAUAGAAUAGAACGUGGAGAUUGGAUUGCAUGAGGGGACUGUGGAAACAAGAUCAAAAGCUAUUGAUGAUAGCUAUGUUGGUUGUUGAUGGGAGUCAAAGACUUGGUUAACUCAGUCAACCAAGUUAACUCGGUCAACACAGUAAGUCGGGUGAAAACCCUCUCAAACGAUAGGAAGCUAGAUAGGUAGUGAGAGUGAUAACCGGUUUAUUUCGAUGAUUUUCAUGAUUCUAUAUCAUUAUUUGGAAGGAUCACAAAUUUAUUGAAGGAUCACAAAUUUAUUGAAGGAUCAAGAGAAUUAAAAAACUGUGUAUUGAAUUCGAGUUUGGGCUAUAUUCAUGGUUCUUAAUAUGUUGAUUGUACACUAAAGCUUCUUUUGGAAGCUUUAUAUUUCAUACAAAGAGAAGAGAGAGACAUGAGAGAUAGAGAUGCAGAUUCGUUUGAGAGAGAGAAACGGUGGAAGGACCAACGUUUACGGUGGUUACUAGGCGGCGCACGGCGGCGCUUUUCACUUAUGACGCUACACGACUGACACUCAAAGAAUCAUCGACGAGGAGUGUAUUUCGGUGAAGUAUGACGAGUCUCCGGCGAAGAUCCGGUAAGUCUUCUAUUCUGUUGCAUGUUACAGUUUCAGUUACAUCGGUUCUUGAUGUGUCGUUUGAGACUAUUCUCGGUGAUAAAUAAUUCCGACAAGAAUCCGGUCAAGUUCCAACCAAGCUCCGGUGAACGAAACUCGACCUGCAUCUCUUCUUUAUUUUUCUAUGUGCAUAUGUAGUCAUACGUUUAGUUAUGUUGAUUAUAAAUGUUUGGGAAUUAGGUCAAGUGGUUGUAUUCUUGGGUUGAAAUUUGUUGAUCAAAGUCAAAAUAGUUCUGAUUUGGUUGCAAAGAUGAAGAAUACAGAGCUCAACUUGUGAGUAAUGUUAGGCACGGCCAAAGAAGUAUAAAUAGAUUAGAGUCAAGCAUUAGUGGAGUGGAAAGAAGUAGAGAGGGUACAAGUAAGAGAUACAAAGAGCUACAGAUUCCAUGGUAGUGGCUGAUGGAUACAGGAGUCGUUGGAAAGGUAGGUGUAGACUUUCCUUUAUAUCACCAAGCAAAGGCUUUUUGUGAUAAUAAACUUGAGUUACAAUAUAUUAUGCUUUAUAAAGUUAACUACAAAUCUUGAUUGUAACUUAAGCUAUUUAUUUUAUUAAUUAAUUAAGUCGACAAUUACAGAUAAAACUAAGUUCCCUGAAUCUUGUGCUAUUGUACCAGUUUUGUUAGUAUUUUUGUCUAGAUAGUUUGGCAGUGGAAAAUACAUCAGCUCAAGGGGACACGCGUCAUUAAUCCUCAUCGUAUGAGAAACCUAAACCAUCUUUCUCACAAAGUCUGGGUAGAGGGAGAGAUCGAGAGAAAGAGAAUCCGACCACACUCCGGCGGCCGGUGGUAUCAAUGACGACGGUGACGAUAGGGGUAAACGGAAAUGAAGAUGAUCGUCUUUUGAGAUUUAGGUUGUAUGGUUAUUUUGUAAUAAAGUUGUCAUUGUCGUGGCUCUCGUGGUGUUUCGCAGCAUGUAAAGCGACUGCCGGUGGCGGAGACGACCUACUGCAGUCGAACAUUUGAUGAACAUGAAGUUCACUUGCAUUGCAUCAUUAAAGACAUAUAAACGCCACCAGUGGUACUGCCUCCGACUUGCUCCUUUUAAAAAAAAACUCCCGAUGAAGUACUUGGCAAUGAGACUUGUAUUCUUAGAGUUCAUCUACACGGUGAUGGUUGCAAACACAAAGUGAAGAAACUUAUUCAAAGAAUUGACGGUAUUCUCUCUUUCAGCUGUUCGUUUCAUUAAAAAAAGAAAAGAAAGUAUGUCUUUGACUUUUGAAGUCAAAGAAUACUUUUUGGUUUCAAAAUUGAAUGUAAUUAUUGGAAUGAAAAAAAUGGUACAUGUACAAGUAGGUGUUGAAUAUGGUACAAAAGGGAAGAAGUUCUUGGUGUAGGUAUGGGUGGGAUAUGAAGGUCAAGAUUUGUCGGGUUUGACUACACAUGUUCAAGAUUUGUGACGAUGAUGAAUCUUUAAGUUCGGUUAGCUUAAUGAACUAGAGCGGGUAGUUUCAUUCAUGUGUAUAAAUGUGAUAGCAAGUUUUGUAUCAUUAAUGUGGGCAUAAUAGAAGAAUAUUAGUUUGCUUUAGCUUUGCGAAA